This 440-nucleotide ribosomal RNA is filed under the name uncultured bacterium. RNAcentral describes it as "partial 16S ribosomal RNA". It matches the Rfam family "Bacterial small subunit ribosomal RNA", at positions 338 to 795 of the family's 1533-position model. The record is from RNAcentral.
CCUACGGGUGGCAGCAGUGGGGAAUAUUGCACAAUGGGGGAAACCCUGAUGCAGCGACGCCGCGUGAGUGAAGAAGUAUUUCGGUAUGUAAAGCUCUAUCAGUAGGGAAGAAAAUAACGGUAUCCGAAUAAGAAACCUCGGCUAACUACGUGCCAGAAGCCCCGGUAAAACGGAGGGGGCGAGCGUUAUCCGGAUUUUCUGGGUGUAAAGGGGGCGUAGACGGCAACAAAAGUCAGUUGUGAAACGCCGGGGCUUAACCCCGGAACUGCUCUGGAAACUGUUUAGUUGGAGUGCAGGAGAGGUAAGUGGAAUUCCUAGUGUAGCGGUGAAAUGCGUAGAUAUUAGGAGGAACACCAGUGGCGAAGGCGGCUUACUGGACUGUAACUGACGUUGAGGCUCGAAAGUGUGGGGAGCAAACAGGAUUAGAUACCCGGGUAGUC